AAACCAGCACCUCAAGUGGUCAGGAGGAUUAUUGGGCCUAAAGCAUCCGUAGCCUGUUCUGUAAGUUUUCGGGUAAAUCCACUAGCUCAACUAGUGGGCUGCCGAAAAUACUGUAGAACUAGGGAGUGGGAGAGGUAGACGGUAUUCGGUAGGAAGGGGUAAAAUCCUUUGAUCUAUUGAGGACCACCUGUGGCGAAGGCGGUCUACCAGAACACGUUCGACGGUGAGGGAUGAAAGCUGGGGGAGCAAACCGGAUUAGAUACCCGAGUAGUCC
This 274-nucleotide ribosomal RNA is filed under the name uncultured bacterium. RNAcentral's name for it is "partial 16S ribosomal RNA". It matches the Rfam family "Archaeal small subunit ribosomal RNA", at positions 473 to 747 of the family's 1478-position model. The record is from RNAcentral.